GGCGGACGGGUGAGUAACGCGUGAGUAACCUGCCUUACACAGGGGAAUAGCCUCGGGAAACUGGGAUUAAUGCCCCAUGACGUAUCCGUGUCGCAUGGCGUGGAUACCAAAGUGAUAGCGGUGUAAGAUGGACUCGCGUCUGAUUAGCUAGUUGGUGGGGUAAAGGCCUACCAAGGCGACGAUCAGUAGCCGGCCUGAGAGGGUGAACGGCCACACUGGAACUGAGACACGGUCCAGACUCCUACGGGAGGCAGCAGUGGGGAAUAUUGCACAAUGGGGGAAACCCUGAUGCAGCGGCGCCGCGUGAGCGAAGAAGGUUUUCGGAUCGUAAAGCUCUGUCCUUGGAGAAGAUAAUGACGGUAUCCAAGGAGGAAGCCCCGGCUAACUACGUGCCAGCAGCCGCGGUAAUACGUAGGGGGCGAGCGUUGUCCGGAAUUACUGGGCGUAAAGGGUACGCAGGCGGUUUCAUAAGUCACGUGUAAAAGGCAUUGGCUCAACCAAUGUAAGCAUUUGAAACUGUGAGACUUGAGUAUAGGAGAGGUAAGUGGAAUUCCUAGUGUAGCGAGAAAUGCGUAGAUAUUAGGAGGAACACCAGUGGCGAAGCGACUUACUGGACUAUAACUGACGCUGAGUACGAAGCGUGGGGAGCAAACAGAUAGAUACCCUGUAGUCCACGCUGUAACGAUGAUGCUAGGUGUCGCAAGAGAUGUCGUGCGGAGUUACGCAUAAGCACUUCGCCUGGGGAGUACGGUCGCAGGACUGAACUCAAGGAAUUGGAGGGACUCGCACAAG
This 792-nucleotide ribosomal RNA is filed under the name uncultured bacterium. RNAcentral's name for it is "bacterial SSU rRNA". It matches the Rfam family "Bacterial small subunit ribosomal RNA", at positions 97 to 929 of the family's 1533-position model. The record is from RNAcentral.